This 453-nucleotide ribosomal RNA is filed under the name uncultured bacterium. Its description in RNAcentral is "SSU rRNA". It matches the Rfam family "Bacterial small subunit ribosomal RNA", at positions 26 to 518 of the family's 1533-position model. The record is from RNAcentral.
AGAGCGAACGCUGGCGGCAGGCUUAACACAUGCAAGUCGAGCGGGCGUAGCAAUACGUCAGCGGCAGACGGGUGAGUAACGCGUGGGAACGUACCUUUUGGUUCGGAACAACCCAGGGAAACUUGGGCUAAUACCGGAUAAGCCCUUACGGGGAAAGAUUUAUCGCCGAAAGAUCGGCCCGCGUCUGAUUAGCUAGUUGGUGAGGUAAUGGCUCACCAAGGCGACGAUCAGUAGCUGGUCUGAGAGGAUGAUCAGCCACAUUGGGACUGAGACACGGCCCAAACUCCUACGGGAGGCAGCAGUGGGGAAUAUUGGACAAUGGGCGCAAGCCUGAUCCAGCCAUGCCGCGUGAGUGAUGAAGGCCCUAGGGUUCGUAAACCCCUUUCAGCAGGGACGAAGCGAAAGUGACGGUACCUGCAGAAGAGCGCCGGCUAACUACGCGCCAGCAGCCGC